This 253-nucleotide ribosomal RNA is filed under the name uncultured bacterium. Its description in RNAcentral is "partial 16S ribosomal RNA". It matches the Rfam family "Bacterial small subunit ribosomal RNA", at positions 524 to 776 of the family's 1533-position model. The record is from RNAcentral.
UACAGAGGGGGCAAGCGUUAUUCGGAAUUAUUGGGCGUAAAGGGCGCGUAGGCGGCUUGGCAAGUGGAUGGUGAAAUCCCUCGGCUUAACCGAGGAACUGCCAUCCAGACUGCUUUGCUUGAGGCCGGGAGAGGUGAGUGGAAUUCCCAGUGUAGCGGUGAAAUGCGUAGAUAUUGGGAGGAACACCAGUGGCGAAGGCGGCUCACUGGACCGGUUCUGACGCUGAGACGCGAAAGCGUGGGGAGCGAACAGG